This is a ribosomal RNA of 614 nucleotides. It matches the Rfam family "Eukaryotic large subunit ribosomal RNA", at positions 35 to 658 of the family's 3401-position model.
UAAGCAUAUCAAUAAGCGGAGGAAAAGAAACCAACAGGGAUUGCCUUAGUAACGGCGAGUGAAGCGGCAAAAGCUCAGAUUUGAAAUCUUUUUGUGUAUGCAAGACGAAUUGUAAUCUGGAGAAGGUUGAAUGGCUGAAUAUUCUGAUUUAAAUUCCUUGGAAUAGGAUAUCAUAGAGGGUGAGAAUCCCGUGAGUAUCAGAGAAUAGGCCACUUAAUUCACCUUUCGACGAGUCGAGUUGUUUGGGAAUGCAGCUCUAAAUGGGUGGUAAAUUUCAUCUAAAGCUAAAUACCUGCCAGAGACCGAUAGCGAACAAGUAGAGUGAUCGAAAGAUGAAAAGCACUUUGAAAAGAGAGUUAAAAAGUACGUGAAAUUGUUGAAAGGGAAGCGCUUGCCAUUAGACUUGAUAUUUGAAUUCAAUCGGCUCUCGGGCUCGAUCUACUUUUCUUCUAUCAGGCCAGCAUCAGUUUGGUGGGGUUUAUAAAGUCAGUUGGAAUGUAGUUUGUCCUUCGGGGUAAAUGUUAUAGACUUCUGUGUCAUUAUACCCACACUAGACUGAGGUCUGCUCUUCGGAAAGGAUGCUGGCAUAAUGAUGGUAAGCGACCCGUCUUGAA